Molecule: unclassified non-coding RNA, 129 nt
Filed under: uncultured Mortierella
Lineage: Eukaryota; Fungi; Mortierellomycota; Mortierellomycetes; Mortierellales; Mortierellaceae
Description: sequence contains ITS1
Source: RNAcentral
UAAUAAAAGUGUUUUAUGGCACUUUUAAAACAAUCCAUAUCCACCUUGUGUGCAAUGUUUUUUAUAAUUUUCAACUCUAUUUUAAUUUAUUUUGUCUGAAAUAUAUUAUGAAUACUUAAUUCAAAAAUA